UUCAAGGGAGACUCAGCCAUACUCUAACUUAGGCCAAGUAUCUCUUGUGUUCCUCUGCUGGACUCCAUCUUUAACCUCAGCAGAGUUUUCUGAGCUGCAUCAUAUCUGCAGUUGAAUCUCCAUCUCCAAGCACAGUAUCAGCACCUAAUGGAUUCUCUAUUUCCAGAUGAAAAGAGCCUGGAUGGACAGAAUAAUGGAGCUGAUAAGCUCCUAAGGACCCAAAGGAAGAGAAAGAAUGCAGUGAUCUGUCAGUGACAGCAGAGAAAUGGAAUAGAAUGUACAUGUAGGGGAGAGAAAGAAACUUCAGAGUUUUUGGAAAUUAGAAGGCAUAUCAAAGAAUACAUGUUCAGCUUAUUUCAGGCCUGUAGAACUAAGGCCAAUGAAAUAACAUAAGGUUGUUGAAAAAAGAGUUCCAACAGAUGGGGGCUGAAAAGGAGCAAGAGAAUGUAUGUUCAAAAAAUGGGGUGGAGAGAAAGUAGAGGUUCUCAUGAUAACCUGCAAGCCAGACCAGACACCUAGAAAGUAGCUCUUCAUGAGCAUUGUUCCAUGUGAUGUUGGCUUUGCCGUUAGAUUGUAAAGAUGUGUUUUAUGCAGAGGCUAUGAAAUGCAUAUACAGAGAGUGCAAGAAGAAAGGAAAAGUCAUUCAAACUUUCACAAGUCUGAGUUGAACACUAUGCUGUGAAAAAGAUUAUCUACUUGGUGGGACCCUGGCGAAGAAGAUUCAAGGUCCAGCAGAAAGGCGGUGACAGAUGUUGACUCCACCCUCGACACCACACAGGUCCAAAGAGUUAGAAAACGCUGGAGAAAUCUUUCUCCUAGUCCUCCUGUAUUGUGGGUCAGCUUCUCCCAACUAUUUCCUAAAACUGGGAAUAGUUCCAGGGACAGGCUGCAGCUGAGGACACAGAACAGAAGAGAACAGAAAUCAAGGACAGUUGGGAGACAUAGCUGUGGGCAAACUCAGAUCCUUGUGGAUGGAAGUUGGCUAGCCCUGGUGUCAUUGGGCAAUGACCAUGGGAACGAACAGACAAACAAGAAAUAGUGCACAGUCUUAAAGGUACAGAAAAAGCUUCAAAGUCAGAAGAAAGACAGGUGAUUUCUAUGAGUGGAUGGCGGGAGGAGUGGACGGUGAGAGGCGGUCUGGAAACAUCUCAGAUGCUCCAAAUGUUUGCUUUCUUUGUGUUCUUAAAGUAUGGGUGAAAUACCACAUGCUUUUUGAACCACUGCCAUUGCUUCCUUUAACUACUUCUGGGAUUUGUUUUUCCCCCUCAUUCAUAAAGCACUGAUUUAUCACAAAA
This is a long non-coding RNA of Peromyscus eremicus (cactus mouse), 1295 nucleotides long. RefSeq lists it as uncharacterized. NCBI's taxonomy places the organism in Eukaryota, Metazoa, Chordata, Mammalia, Rodentia, Cricetidae. The record is from RefSeq and is a predicted model, not a curated record. The transcript has 2 exons.